RNAcentral lists this ribosomal RNA (275 nucleotides) under uncultured bacterium. RNAcentral describes it as "partial 16S ribosomal RNA". It matches the Rfam family "Bacterial small subunit ribosomal RNA", at positions 338 to 629 of the family's 1533-position model. The record is from RNAcentral.
CCUACGGGUGGCUGCAGUAAGGAAUCUUCCACAAUGGACGAAAGUCUGAUGGAGCAACGCCGCGUGCAGGAUGAAUGCCUUCGGGUUGUAAACUGCUUUUCUGAAGGAAGAUUAUGACGGUACUUCAGGAAUAAGGACCGGCUAACUACGUGCCAGCAGCCGCGGUAAUACGUAGGGUCCAAGCGUUAACCGGAAUCACUGGGCGUAAAGCGUGCGUAGGCGGAUGUUUAAGUGCAACGCGAAAUCCUGUGGCUCAACCAUAUGGACUGUGUUGC